Molecule: ribosomal RNA, 254 nt
Filed under: uncultured bacterium
Lineage: Bacteria
Description: partial 16S ribosomal RNA
Rfam family: Bacterial small subunit ribosomal RNA
Source: RNAcentral
CACGUAGGGUGCGAGCGUUGUCCGGAAUUAUUGGGCGUAAAGAGCUCGUAGGCGGUGUGUCGCGUCGACUGUGAAAACCUGCGGCUCAACCGUGUGGUCUGCAGUCGAUACGGGCAGGCUGGAGUUCGGUAGGGGAGACUGGAAUUCCUGGUGUAGCGGUGAAAUGCGCAGAUAUCAGGAGGAACACCGGUGGCGAAGGCGGGUCUCUGGGCCGAUACUGACGCUGAAGAGCGAAAGCGUGGGGAGCGAACAGG